CCCUUAGAUGUUCUGGGCCGCACGCGCGCUACACUGAACAGUUCAACAAGUCUUAACCUUGGCCGAUAGGUCUGGGUAAUCUUUGAACGCUGUUCGUGAUUGGGAUAGACCUUUGCAAUUAUGGGUCUUCAACGAGGAAUUCCUAGUAAACGCAAGUCAUCAGCUUGCAUUGAUUACGUCCCUGCCCUUUGUACACACCGCCCGUCGCACCUACCGACUGAAUGGUCCGGUGAAAUCUCGGGACGGCGGCUUGGUCGCUUGCGUCCGACUGCUGAAACUUGAUUAAACCAUAUCAUUUAGAGGAAGGUGAAGUCGUAACA
This 320-nucleotide ribosomal RNA is filed under the name uncultured eukaryote. RNAcentral describes it as "partial 18S ribosomal RNA". It matches the Rfam family "Eukaryotic small subunit ribosomal RNA", at positions 1470 to 1796 of the family's 1831-position model. The record is from RNAcentral.